UGAGAAUUAAAGGGCCGCGGUAUUUUGACCGUGCAAAGGUAGCAUAAUCAUUAGUCUUCUAAUUAAAGGCUGGAAUGAAUGGUUGGACGAGGUAUUAGCUGUCUCACUAAAAUGGACUAAAACUUAACCUUUUAGUUAAAAGGCUAAAAUGGUAUUGGAGGACGAGAAGACCCUAUAGAUCUUAAUAUUCUAAUUGUGUAGUCUUUUUAGAAGAAUUUAGACUUGAUAAGAGGAAUAUUUUGUUGGGGUGACAGGAAGAUAAGAUAAACUAUUUUUUAAUUAAACC
Molecule: ribosomal RNA, 286 nt
Filed under: Bleptus fasciatus
Lineage: Eukaryota; Metazoa; Arthropoda; Insecta; Ephemeroptera; Heptageniidae
Description: partial 16S ribosomal RNA
Source: RNAcentral